Tympanuchus pallidicinctus (lesser prairie-chicken) is the source of this 483-nucleotide long non-coding RNA. RefSeq lists it as uncharacterized. NCBI's taxonomy places the organism in Eukaryota, Metazoa, Chordata, Aves, Galliformes, Phasianidae. The record is from RefSeq and is a predicted model, not a curated record. The transcript has 4 exons.
GGGGGAGAAGUUUGCUUUCUUUGCAUCUCAGCCCUCCUGCAAAUGCUUUUCUCUUCCCGUCCUAUGGGGCAAAGCAUCUGCAAAGCGGCCCUUUGGUUUCUUUAUUUGCGUUUCUGGGGGGCAAAGAGGCUGCGAGGUGCAAAAAGUGAGCAAAGUUUGGUGCCAUUGCAAAGUGCAGGGUGCAAAAUGCAAGAAGUGAGCAAAGUUUGGUGCCAUUGCAAAGUGCAGAAAGCAAAGGGUGAGAAAACAAAGUUUGGUGCUAUUGCAGGAAGCAAAAAGUGAGCAAAGUUUGCUACUGCAAAGUGCAGGGUGCAAAAUGCAAGAAGUGAGCAAAGUUUGGUGGCAUUGCAAAGUGCAGAAUGCAAAGGCUGAGCAAAGUUUGGUGCCAUUGCAAAAUGCAAAUGGUGAGCAAAGCCUGAUGCAACUGCGAAAUGCAAAGGGGAAAAGUGAGCACAGCCUGGUGCUCGUGCAGAACGCGAAGAU